CUUGGUUAUAGACUCCAUUGUCUACUUAAUCAUGUUUUAGUACUUGUGAGAAGUAGCACAACUACUGAAAAAACCAGACCCAGUUCUCCGUGAUGUCUAGCCCACCAAUUAGGGCUAGGGAGUAUCAGAAAAGCUCAUUAAUGUGAGCCCUAGGUGCGGCUCUUUGCUUCUCUACCUAAUCUUUGGGGUUGGUGUAACAUGGAUUAUAUGAUAGGCGUGGGUUCUGUCCCAGCCUGAAUCUGUUGUACAGAGUUGAUCCCUUGUUAAUAAAAUUAUAUUGUUUGAAAAAAUUAAAAAAAAACCUGCCAUUUCCACUAUCCAAGUAUUUAGAACAUCUAGGCCGAUGGUCUAAAGCUUCCCUAUUGGGCUACUAACCAUCUAGGACCAUGCUUUUAGGGCUCAUGCUCUAACCAUCUAGGUCCAUGACCCUGUACCAGCCCCCUAUUCAUUAUCAACAUUUGGGUUGUUUACAUUGACAUUAUGCAUAUCAAGGCAUACCCCAGCCCUUUGAGAUAUUGGACUUAGAUAUUGUAUUCAGGCCUCCGUCCCAAAACAAAGGCCAAGCCCAAUGUAGGCCUACUUCCUGUAAACAAUGAUUAGGUAGAGUAGAACUUUAACCUCACAAAUCAUGCUAGUCCACUCCUCAAAUGAGGAACCCGUACAGAAAAAUGGCUGUUUUGAAAGAAAAACACAAGCGACCUCAAUAUACACAUGUGGUCCAAGUGAUGAAUGGUCAUUCCUAAUAUUUGCCCAAUGAAAUGAUUAUAGCCAUUCAACAAAAAAAUGAACAA
Magnolia sinica is the source of this 791-nucleotide long non-coding RNA. RefSeq lists it as uncharacterized. The record is from RefSeq and is a predicted model, not a curated record. The transcript is spliced from 2 exons. Lineage: Eukaryota; Viridiplantae; Streptophyta; Magnoliopsida; Magnoliales; Magnoliaceae.